GGCCGCCACCUGAAACAAGAAUAUUCAUCCUUCUUAUUCAACAUUCUAAUGGAAAAAUAAGUAACGAUCACAGGGAUGAUACAUAGUCACAUACUUAACACGUGACACUUGCCGGAGAUUUACCGUUUAGUACUCAAAAGAAAUUACGCCACUAUAGGUCACGAGGCUCUGCAAUAUGUGUAUAGCCUAGGCGUAUUAUAAACCUUGCGCAACUUAAGUGUGCAGGUACGUCGUACGUAGAUAGUAUAGUAUUCGAGAAUUAUUAAGCUGCUCAUCGUUAAGAAGUUACUCGUUAUGCUCGGUUUGCUUCGAAGGCUAACAAAACCUCCGAUCUCUCACCUGGAUCUUCUUCUCCAGACCAAACAGGUACCACGAUCUGCAAUACCGACGGAACUUUCGAACACUAAAUACGAUUGCCAAAGAAUGAGUUCACUGGUUUUAUCAUUGGAGUCGGUUUCAUUUGUAUUUAUUUACACAAAUUAUUCGUUAUCCAAAACGGCGUAAGGGAAUGAGAAAUUAAAUGGCACUACAACAUUGUACAGGUCAUACCUCUGUUACACAGGAGUUUGCUCUACAAAUUAUAGGGUUUACCGGCUCGAUGGUACAAUGAUCUUGAAUAUCCUCGCUGUGGAAUCAUCUGAUGUGCUCAAAAUUUUCGUGCCGUCUCUGUGAAUGAAUGAUCAUGCAUUUUUUUUAAAUAAUUAUCGGUAACAGGCUGAAAUUCAAUUUUGAAACAAUUACCUAGAGAUACAAAGGUCCAGAAUAUCGGCGGAAUGUCCCAUCAAAGAGCCCAAUUGUUUUCCUAAUUUAGCAUCGAACGAUCUAAUCACUCCGUCUAAGCCGGAGGUAUAGAAAAUUGACGUAUUUUGGCACCACACCAAUUUGCUAAUUCCACUAUCCUGAUCAAUGGCGUGUCGUAGUACCUUGGAUAAGAAUAAAUUCAUCAAGUACCAUUCGAAUUUAAUUUUUUUUUCUACGCACUAUACGAAAUACCUGUUUUGAUGUAUCCCAAAUAAAAAUUUGUCCAUUGACUGUCCCUGUAGCGGCUACCUGGUAUUCGGAAUUUUUGCAAAAUGCGAUGGUUUCUACCCAAUUCCCCAUUGGUUUGGCAGUAUCGUGUGCUUCGACAUUAGUUGAGGACUCCACUUCUGUGGCUAUAUUCGCAUCUUUCAGUUCCUGAAGGACUCCGAUAAUCU
This 1196-nucleotide unclassified non-coding RNA is filed under the name Athalia rosae (coleseed sawfly). Its description in RNAcentral is "misc RNA ENSAEAG00005011714.1". Lineage: Eukaryota; Metazoa; Arthropoda; Insecta; Hymenoptera; Athaliidae. The record is from RNAcentral.